RNAcentral lists this ribosomal RNA (305 nucleotides) under uncultured bacterium. RNAcentral's name for it is "bacterial SSU rRNA". It matches the Rfam family "Bacterial small subunit ribosomal RNA", at positions 333 to 655 of the family's 1533-position model. The record is from RNAcentral.
CAGGGCCUACGGGAGGCAGCAGUGGGGAAUAUUGCACAAUGGGGGAAACCCUGAUGCAGCAACGCCGCGUGAGUGAAGAAGUAUUUCGGUAUGUAAAGCUCUAUCAGCAGGGAAGAGAAUGACGGUACCUGACUAAGAAGCCCCGGCUAACUACGUGCCAGCAGCCGCGGUAAUACGUAUGGUGCAAGCGUUAUCCGGAUUUACUGGGUGUAAAGGGAGCGCAGGCGGCACGGCAAGCCUGAUGUGGAAGCCCGCGGCCCAACCGCGGGACUGCAUUGGGAACUACCGGGCUGGACUGCCGGAGG